ACUGAUUAGAAGCUUGCUUCUAUGACGUUAGCGGCGGACGGGUGAGUAACACGUGGGCAACCUGCCUGUAAGACUGGGAUAACUUCGGGAAACCGAAGCUAAUACCGGAUAGGAUCUUCUCCUUCAUGGGAGAUGAUUGAAAGAUGGUUUCGGCUAUCACUUACAGAUGGGCCCGCGGUGCAUUAGCUAGUUGGUGAGGUAACGGCUCACCAAGGCAACGAUGCAUAGCCGACCUGAGAGGGUGAUCGGCCACACUGGGACUGAGACACGGCCCAGACUCCUACGGGAGGCAGCAGUAGGGAAUCUUCCGCAAUGGACGAAAGUCUGACGGAGCAACGCCGCGUGAGUGAUGAAGGCUUUCGGGUCGUAAAACUCUGUUGUUAGGGAAGAACAAGUACAAGAGUAACUGCUCGUACCUUGACGGUACCUAACCAGAAAGCCACGGCUAACUACGUGCCAGCAGCCGCGGUAAUACGUAGGUGGCAAGCGUUAUCCGGAAUUAUUGGGCGUAAAGCGCGCGCAGGCGGUUUCUUAAGUCUGAUGUGAAAGCCCACGGCUCAACCGUGGAGGGUCAUUGGAAACUGGGGAACUUGAGUGCAGAAGAGAAAAGCGGAAUUCCACGUGUAGCGGUGAAAUGCGUAGAGAUGUGGAGGAACACCAGUGGCGAAGGCGGCUUUUUGGUCUGUAACUGACGCUGAGGC
RNAcentral lists this ribosomal RNA (701 nucleotides) under Bacillus sp. SK97. RNAcentral's name for it is "bacterial SSU rRNA". It matches the Rfam family "Bacterial small subunit ribosomal RNA", at positions 69 to 752 of the family's 1533-position model. The record is from RNAcentral. Lineage: Bacteria; Bacillati; Bacillota; Bacilli; Caryophanales; Bacillaceae.